GGCCAGACUCCUACGGGAGGCAGCAGUGGGGAAUAUUGCACAAUGGGGGGAACCCUGAUGCAGCGACGCCGCGUGAGUGAAGAAGUAUUUCGGUAUGUAAAGCUCUAUCAGCAGGGAAGAAAAUGACGGUACCUGACUAAGAAGCCCCGGCUAACUACGUGCCAGCAGCCGCGGUAAUACGUAGGGGGCAAGCGUUAUCCGGAUUUACUGGGUGUAAAGGGAGCGUAGACGGCAGAGCAAGUCUGAAGUGAAAGCCCGGGGCUCAACCCUGGGACUGCUCUGGAAACUGUAAGGCUGGAGUGCGGGAGGGGCAGGCGGAAUUCCUGGUGUAGCGGUGAAAUGCGUAGAUAUCAGGAGGAACACCGGCGGCGAAGGCGGCCUGCUGGACCGUAACUGACGUUGAGGCUCGAAAGCGUGGGGAGCAAACAGGAUUAGAUACCCGUGUA
This 446-nucleotide ribosomal RNA is filed under the name uncultured bacterium. Its description in RNAcentral is "bacterial SSU rRNA". It matches the Rfam family "Bacterial small subunit ribosomal RNA", at positions 329 to 792 of the family's 1533-position model. The record is from RNAcentral.